AAUAGAUACCCAGGUAGUCCACCCCGUAAACGUUGGGAACUAGUUGUGGGGUCCAUUCCACGGAUUCCGUGACGCAGCUAACGCAUUAAGUUCCCCGCCUGGGGAGUACGGCCGCAAGGCUAAAACUCAAAGGAAUUGACGGGGACCCGCACAAGCGGCGGAGCAUGCGGAUUAAUUCGAUGCAACGCGAAGAACCUUACCAAGGCUUGACAUAUACGAGAACGGGCCAGAAAUGGUCAACUCUUUGGACACUCGUAAACAGGUGGUGCAUGGUUGUCGUCAGCUCGUGUCGUGAGAUGUUGGGUUAAGUCCCGCAACGAGCGCAACCCUCGUUCUAUGUUGCCAGCACGUAAUGGUGGGAACUCAUGGGAUACUGCCGGGGUCAACUCGGAGGAAGGUGGGGAUGACGUCAAAUCAUCAUGCCCCUUAUGUCUUGGGCUUCACGCAUGCUACAAUGGCCGGUCAAAGGGCUGCAAUACCGUGAGGUGGAGCGAAUCCCAAAAAGCCGGUCCCAGUUCGGAUUGAGGUCUGCAACUCGACCUC
RNAcentral lists this ribosomal RNA (543 nucleotides) under uncultured bacterium. RNAcentral's name for it is "bacterial SSU rRNA". It matches the Rfam family "Bacterial small subunit ribosomal RNA", at positions 777 to 1319 of the family's 1533-position model. The record is from RNAcentral.